RNAcentral lists this ribosomal RNA (365 nucleotides) under uncultured bacterium. Its description in RNAcentral is "bacterial SSU rRNA". It matches the Rfam family "Bacterial small subunit ribosomal RNA", at positions 335 to 692 of the family's 1533-position model. The record is from RNAcentral.
ACUCCUACGGGAGGCAGCAGUGGGGAAUAUUGCACAAUGGGCGCAAGCCUGAUGCAGCCAUGCCGCGUGUGUGAAGAAGGCCUUCGGGUUGUAAAGCACUUUCAGUUGUGAGGAAGGUGGUGUCGUUAAUAGCGGCAUAUUUGACGUUUAGCAACAUGAAGAAGCACCGGCUAACUCCGUGCCAGCAGCCGCGGUAAUACGGAGGGUGCGAGCGUUAAUCGGAAUUACUGGGCGUAAAGCGCAUGCAGGCGGCUUGUUAAGUCAGAUGUGAAAGCCCGGGGCUUAACCUCGGAAUUGCAUUUGAAACUGGCAGGCUAGAGUCUGUAGAGGGGGGUAGAAUUUCAGGUGUAGCGGUGAAAUGCGUA